Molecule: long non-coding RNA, 766 nt
Filed under: Astyanax mexicanus (Mexican tetra)
Lineage: Eukaryota; Metazoa; Chordata; Actinopteri; Characiformes; Acestrorhamphidae
Description: lncRNA (ENSAMXG00005024706.1)
Source: RNAcentral
UUUUAAAAUCCAUGUACACAGCUUCUAUAAAUAGCUUGACAUUCACCAAUGUUUCCUUAUUUUGUAUUUGUUCUGUUUUAUGAGGAAAAUGUGAUCCAUCACUAUAAGAGAAUAGUUGCAUUAAGAUUAAGUCAUUAAUCUGAUGUAGACUGUUUAUUUGGACUGUUUGUUAGGACUUUGGUGAAUGAAGCCCGGUGGAGAUUAAGGAGUGUUUCAUUAUUUUUUUUUUUUAUUUAUUUCAUAGAAAACUGGACGCACAGUUCUGCUGGCCGGUCCUCCUGCACGUUCAGCUGCUGUGGCGACAUCUGAAUCUAUAUUUGGAUCGGGAUAUGAAUCUGGAUCUGGAUCUGAUGAAGAUCUUCGGGAUGCUGUAGAGAGCUUUCUGUCUUCUCGUCGGUUAAGUGGUAAAAAAGUGAAAAACAAAUGUAAAAACAGACAAAACAUUUUAUGAUUAUCCUUCCAUUGUGUUACCAAUAAGUACUAUUUAUUCAUUUUAAGUGUCAGACAAAUACAUGAAUAUAUGUUCAGCAUAAAACAAAAUAGAAGCCUUUAGAACUUAACAGCAUUUCAAAAGAUUUUAGUGUGUCCGCACUUUAUACUGCAUUACUUUAAUAUUUACAGAAAAUACUGGAAGUUUUGUAAAUUUAGAUUAGGCAUUAGACUGUCAGCAGGCUAAGCGUUUCCACUAACAUCUGGAGAUCACUGGUUUGAAUCCCGAUUAUGUAGCUUGCCAUCAGCUAGGAGCCCUGAGAGAGAAUAAUUGGCU